UACGGGGGGGGCAAGCGUUGUUCAGAAUUACUGGGCGUAAAGGGCUCGUAGGCGGCCAACUAAGUCGGACGUGAAAUCCCCAGGCUCAACCUGGGAACUGCGUCCGAUACUGGAUGGCUUGAAUCCGGGAGAGGGAUGCAGAAUUCCAGGUGUAGCGGUGAAAUGCGUAGAUAUCUGGAGGAACACCGGUGGCGAAGGCGGCAUCCUGGACCGGCAUUGACGCUGAGGAGCGAAAGCCAGGGGAGCAAACGGG
RNAcentral lists this ribosomal RNA (253 nucleotides) under uncultured bacterium. RNAcentral describes it as "partial 16S ribosomal RNA". It matches the Rfam family "Bacterial small subunit ribosomal RNA", at positions 524 to 776 of the family's 1533-position model. The record is from RNAcentral.